AACUGUGUUUCACGGUAUCAUCAGUCUCAUAACCUGAAGGUCGUAGGUUCAAAUCCUACCCCCGCAACCA
Molecule: transfer RNA, 70 nt
Filed under: Rhodospirillaceae bacterium
Lineage: Bacteria; Pseudomonadati; Pseudomonadota; Alphaproteobacteria; Rhodospirillales; Rhodospirillaceae
Description: tRNA-Leu
Source: RNAcentral